AUAAGGACAAAAACUAACUAGAAAGUGCAUUUUCUGAAGAAACUGCAGUGUGAAUGCUUGAAUCUGAAUGUAUGGACUGAAAUGAAUUAAUUGCUGAAUUUUGAGUUAAAAAUUUUGAAUGAGAUAAAAAAACAAAAAAAACAACCUGAAUUUAACCUGAAAACAACAGUGCUGAACUGCUAAAAGCUGAAGGUUACACAGAAGAAGAAGUUGGAAAAAAGCUGAAAAUGUUUUAAUUGUAAAUUAGAAAAACCUAAGAAAUGAGAAAAGAACAUUUAGAGUCAGAAAACAUCUGAAAGAAUAUUAAAAGGUCAUAUUCUUUGAAUCACUGAAUGACUAAAAUGUGAUCCCUCCACUUGGACCCACACAGUUUAAAAAGUUUACAUCUCUGAGCUUUGAAAGACAAGAUGUUGGAAAAAGAACAACGAUGGCGACGUUUUGAGGGUAAAAUGAUGGCUGUAACACUGUGGACACAGCAGCAGUUGAAAGAGAAGUGUUUAAGAUGAAUCUUGGCAGAGUGAGAGAGAGAGCUCGUUAAGCAGGCAGGUGUGAGCCUGGUUGCUAUAGUGACCGCACCCAAUGGCUCCAUACACACGACACAGACAUGCACCUCACUUUUGCUGCUUAAAAUGAACAGAAAAGUCAGGCCGAAACAAAUCGUUCCCAAAUGAAAAGUACAUGUCGUACUGACAAAAUUCUUUCACCGUGAGCGACAGCCAUGUCUAGUCUACCUAAUUCUCAGUUUUCAUGCCUGUGGAGCUUAUUAUAUGGACGUGGUGACAGUGGAAAGACACCAUGCUCUUCUGAUUUUCAAACGAACCUUCUGAGCCAUUUUAACAUUAGAGUCUAUGGAAGAGUUGGAGGGAGGAGGCUGUGCAUUGGUGACAUUUAUGAAAGAACCAUAACACCUAGGACAAUAGUAAACACAUUGGAUGAAAGAGGACAGCCAUGGCUACGUUUUGAGGGUAAAAUCAUACCUGUAGAGCAAACGCUGCGGACACAGCAGCAGUUUUAAAAAAGAUUUUAAGAUUAAUUUUUUUGCUCCUCUCACUCUAGCAGUUGAGCUGCCUCACUCUAGCCCCAACAUUCCGUCCCAUACACACCCAUUAUAAACUCUGAAACGGGUGAAAAAACAUCAUGAAACUUAAACUGGAACUGAAGAAAAAGUAUAAUAGAUAUUGAAAAGAUAAAUACAAGUUGAAUAGUUGAAUGUCUUGUCUUCGUUUUAAAGUUUGAAUGGUGGCUCUAUGUGAACGUAUGUUGAAGUAGUAAGAGUUUAAAAAUGAGUAAGUUGAAUGAGAAUUUGAAGGGUCUCCCCAUUGAAAUACAUGGGAAAUUUUUGUUGAAUAAAGUUGAAUAAAAUUAAAAAUAUAAAUGUUAAAAAUGAGAAAAGUAGAAGCAGUGUUGUCCAAAAGAAGAGGAAUCUAAUGGUGUUUGAAUGGUUUUUCUAAGUUGAACGGUUUUGAAGGAGAUAGUCGGCGAAAAACGUACGGAAUAGAAAAUAAUAACUAGAAAGUGCAUUUUCUGAAGAAACUGCAGUGUGAAUGCUUGAAUCUGAAUGUAUGGACUGAAAUGAAUUAAUUACUGAAUUUUGAGUUAAAAAUAUUGAAUGAGAUUAAAAAAACCCAAAAAAAAAACCGAAUUUAACCUGAAAACAAAGGUGCUGAACUGCUAAAAGCUGAAGGUUACACAGAAGAAGGAGUUGGAAAAAAACUGAAAAUGUUUUAAAUGUAAAUUAGAAAACCCUAAGAAAUGAGAAAAGAACAUUUAGAGUCAGAAAACAUCUGAAUGAAUAUUAAAAGGUCAUAUUCUUUGAAUCACUUAAUGACUCAAAUGUGAUCCCUCCACUUUGAUCCACACAGUUUAAAAAGUUUAAAUGCCUGAGCUUUGAAAGAUACGGUGUUGGAAAGAGAACAAUAAUGGCGACAAUUUGAGGGUAAAAUGAUGGCUGUAACACUGUGGACACAGCAGCAGUUGAAAGAGAAGUGCUUAAGAUGAAUCUUGGUACAGUGGCAGGCAGAGCUCGUUAAGCAGGCAGGUGUGAGCCUGGUUGCUAUAGUGACCGCACCCAAUGGCUCCAUACACACGUACACAGACAUGCGCCUCACUUUUGCUGCUUAAAAUGAACAGAAAAGUCAGGCCGAAACAAAUCGUUCCCAAAUGAAAAGUAAAAGUCGUAUUGACAAAAUUCUUUCACCGUGAGCGACAGCAGCUUCUAGUCUACCGAAUUCUCAGUUUUCAUGCCUGUGGAGUUUAUUAUAUGGACGUGGUGACAGUGUAAAGACACCAUGCUCUUCUGAUUUUCAAACGAACCUUCUGAGCCAUUUUAACAUUAGAGUCUAUGGAAGAGUUGGAGGGAGGAGGCUGUGCAUUGGUGACAUUUAUGAAAGAACCAUAACACCUAGUACAAUAGUAAACACAUUGGAUGAAAGAGGACAGCCAUGGCUACGUUUUGAGGGUAAAAUCAUACCUGUAGAGCAAACGCUGCGGACACAGCAGCAGUUUUAAAAAAGAUUUUAAGAUAAAUUUUUUUGCUCCUCUCACUCUAGCAGUUGAGCUGCCUCACUCUAGCCCC
Astatotilapia calliptera (eastern happy) is the source of this 2575-nucleotide long non-coding RNA. The record is from Ensembl. NCBI's taxonomy places the organism in Eukaryota, Metazoa, Chordata, Actinopteri, Cichliformes, Cichlidae.